UGUGCAAACAUUAGUGGAGUGCAUCUUAGGGUGUCCGGAUGCCUACCAUCAGUCUAUUUACGCAAAUCUUUUAGAGCAAGUGGCCGGAUGUCACCAUGGAAAAGAUUUUCGUAGCGCUUUAACAUCGCAAAGGCCCAUGGAAAAUGUAGCAGAAGAGGAGGAUUGUAAUUCACCAGAAACAUCUCCAAAUCAAGAAUUUGCGGCAGGCACUUCAACAAAUUCAAUUCAUUUAAGCAUACCAUAUGGGAAUGGGCAGAGAAGCACUACGUUAAUAAGCAUGCUUGAGAUAUGGUCUAGAAGCUUCUUGCAGGACAUCUACAGCCACGGCGUUAUUUAUACUGUCUGCUUUCCUCAAAGAGAAAUCCCACAAUGGUUCUGCCGUCAGA
Molecule: non-coding RNA, 386 nt
Organism: Corylus avellana
Lineage: Eukaryota; Viridiplantae; Streptophyta; Magnoliopsida; Fagales; Betulaceae
Source: RefSeq, a predicted model, not a curated record